GGGGCUUUACUGGUUUCGACUUGGUGGCGAAAGCUGCCCGUUGAUGCAGGUCGAGAGGGAGUCAACUCUCGGAAAUAAAGGCUCGCUUAAAUAUAGAUGCAAACAACAUCGUUGCUUUUUCUCGUAAGCAAGCUGUAGUAGCUGCCUAAUUACCUCUUACAGGUUCGAGAGCUUCUAGUGUGACUCCGUUAAGCAUUAGAGGCAACCCCCAACGGAUGCGUUAGUUAGUUCCCUCUGGUGGACUUUCUAACUAAGACCUUACCAGAGCAUCCUAGCGUUCGGGAUAAUGAACGCUUCCCGCCUUGAGGAUCAGAAAGGCUAAACCUGUGAAUGAUGCGGGGGUAAUUACCCAUUAAGGACAUGGGUUCGACUCCCAUAAGCUCCA
RNAcentral lists this transfer-messenger RNA (385 nucleotides) under Calothrix sp. NIES-3974. RNAcentral describes it as "transfer-messenger RNA, SsrA". It matches the Rfam family "transfer-messenger RNA". From Rfam's summary of the family: Bacterial tmRNA, also known as 10Sa RNA or SsrA, is named for its dual tRNA and mRNA-like properties. Its role is to liberate the mRNA from a stalled ribosome. The record is from RNAcentral. Lineage: Bacteria; Bacillati; Cyanobacteriota; Cyanophyceae; Nostocales; Calotrichaceae.